Molecule: ribosomal RNA, 843 nt
Filed under: uncultured archaeon
Lineage: Archaea
Description: bacterial SSU rRNA
Rfam family: Archaeal small subunit ribosomal RNA
Source: RNAcentral
ACGGCUCAGUAACACGUAGUCAACCUGCCCUGGAGACGUGGACAAACCCGGGAAACUGGGGCUGAUCCACGAUAGAUGACCUCAUCUGGAAGGAGAGGUCGUCCAAAAGGCGGCGCGAGUAUGCUUCGCGUCUUCCGCUCCAGGAUGGGACUGCGGCCGAUCAGGCUGUUGGCGGGGUAAUGGCCCACCAAACCUGUAACCGGUACGGGCUUUGAGAGAAGGAGCCCGGAGAUGGACACUGAGACAAGGGUCCAGGCCCUACGGGGCGCAUCAGGCGCGAAAACUUCGCAAUGCGCGAAAGCGUGACGAGGCUAGUCCGAGUGCCUUCCGCUGAGGAGGGCUUUUCUCGGCUGUAAAUAGGCCGGGGAAUAAGGGGAGGGCAAGUCUGGUGUCAGCCGCCGCGGUAAUACCAGCUCCUCGAGUGGUCGGGACGAUUAUUGGGCCUAAAGCACCCGUAGCCUGUUCAGUAAGUCCUCUGUUAAAUCCAACCGCUCAACGGUUGGCACGCAGAGGAUACUGCUGGACUAGGAGGCGGGAGAGGCGGACGGUACUCCGCGUGUAGGGGUAAAAUCCUUUGAUCCGCGGAAGACCACCAGUGGCGAAGGCGGUCCGCCAGAACGCGCUCGACGGUGAGGGGUGAAAGCUGGGGGAGCGAACCGGAUUAGAUACCCGGGUAGUCCCAGCCGUAAACGAUGCGAGCUAGAUGAUUCGAUUGCAGUUCGCAAUCGAAGUGUCGCAGGGAAGCCGUUAAGCUCGCCGCCUGGGGAGUACGGUCGCAAGGCUGAAUUGUCGGCGAUUUCCUUCGCCGGCACAGUUCACAUAAAGGAAUUGGCGGGGGAGCAC